AUUGAACGCUGGCGGCAUGCUUUACACAUGCAAGUCGAACGGUAACAGGCCUUCGGGUGCUGACGAGUGGCGAACGGGUGAGUAAUGCAGCGGAACGUACCCAGAGGUGGGGGAUAACGCAGCGAAAGCUGUGCUAAUACCGCAUGUGAUCUGAGGAUGAAAGCGGGGGACCGCGCAGCAAUGUUUGGCCUCGCGCCUUUGGAGCGGCCGAUGUCGGAUUAGCUAGUUGGUGGGGUAAAGGCCUACCAAGGCGACGAUCCGUAGCUGGUCUGAGAGGACGACCAGCCACACUGGGACUGAGACACGGCCCAGACUCCUACGGGAGGCAGCAGUGGGGAAUUUUGGACAAUGGGCGCAAGCCUGAUCCAGCAAUGCCGCGUGCGGGAAGAAGGCCUUCGGGUUGUAAACCGCUUUUGGUAGGAACGAAACGGUGUCCGCUAAUACCGGGCGCUACUGACGGUACCUGCAGAAUAAGCACCGGCUAACUACGUG
This 492-nucleotide ribosomal RNA is filed under the name uncultured bacterium. RNAcentral's name for it is "partial 16S ribosomal RNA". It matches the Rfam family "Bacterial small subunit ribosomal RNA", at positions 29 to 507 of the family's 1533-position model. The record is from RNAcentral.